CCAUACAUACUCCCAGACCCAAGGGAGGGGUCCUUCUCUGGUUCGGACUCUUCCACAGAGCGGGGAGCAUGCUAGACACCCCAGCUCACCCCCCAAAAGGGAUAUUCUAUUUCAGGACACUGGGAAACUUCCCUUUGGCUUUCACAACUCCUGUCAGGUGCAGAGCACUGGCCGCAUUUUACAGACAGGUAAACUGAGUCUGUGACCCUACAGCUGUGGAUGGUGGAAGUGGGACUUGAAGCCAAGCCUUCUCAUUCCAACAGCUUUCUUUCCUCUCCGCCAUGCUGCCUGUCAAGGAGAUUCCUCCCCGCUCCUGGCGCCUGCCCACCCAGGUCUGACAAUUUCCUUUUAGUUGUAUGUUCUCACAGUUCCCACUCUUUGCCAUGAGGAAGGAAGUCCUGCGUGGAAUCAAAACCUCUAGCUCCCAGCUUUUUCUGCCUCCUUCACAUGCUUGCCCAGAAUUUGCUGGAAACCCGUGGUACCAAAGCCUUUCCUUCAUUCUCAGAAGCUUCUCCCAGGGCAAACUAAGUCAAACCUUAGCUGCAGCCCCACCUCCCUCCCCCACGCACACCUGGGGGAGUCUGGGGUGAGGAGGCCAGCUGCGGGCUUCCGUGGGAUGGUUGCCUGCCUGUUGUCCCGUUCCUUGGCACAGGAGUGCCCGUAACCAUGCUGGCUGGCUCUGCCUGCUUCUGUGAGUGCCCUCACGUCCCAUGAGGCUGAGCUGGGCCAUGGCCGUAGGGCAUGGCAGCCUUCUGAAGACCAGGUGGGCACCAUCGGGGGCAGCAUACGGACCCAUGUGAUCCAGCAACCCAGGCUCUGCUCUGAUUAGAAAUGGCAUGGUGGCUGCUGUGCCACCCAAGGAAGAGGGGCAGCUGGGAUCUGGCAGAAAAAACCUGGGGUUCAGAGUCGAGGACCUGGGUCUGAGGCCAGCUCUGCCAUUUACUGGUUGACCUUGACUGCAACUCAGAACCACUCUGAGGUUCCAUUUCCUCAACUGUAAAAGGAGGUACAGUAAUGCCUGCCCCUUCUACCCUCAGGACAAUCGUCAACUCGAGCAAGGCAGGUGAAUCAGCCUUCUAAACACCACAGUGCCAUAAAAAUGAAAAUUAUAAAUGAUUAGCGGGCUCAGGGCUGGCCUGGGAGGGGACCUGAUGGCCUAGACAGUAAUUUCCAGGGUAGAAGCCCUCAUAGCCAGGACCCCGGAGCCUGGGGUCUAGAGCGGACCGGUCCUCUGCUGGCAUCACCGGGACUCUGUUGCCACCUAGAGGGCACUGGCUGCAGGUGCUUCUGCUGCUCAUGUGGGUCUGGAAAAUGACUGGGAAGGCCUGUUUCCUUGUAAGUGGCUUUGGAUCCCUUGGGUCGCCUGCUGUACCAGGUCGGGCUGCUUAAGGAGAGAAUGUGGUCCAGAUUUAAUCCAGAGAAGAAACACCUGAAACUACUUGGGAGACAGUUCGGUUGGCCUUCCAGAAGUUCUUCUGAGCCACUAUUUCUAUACUGACCCUUUUUCUCCCACCUUUUCCCCCACUGACCAACUGGCCAUGUCAAAUCCAACUCCUCACAUGCCCCAAAGGCUGGUGUGGCAGCUGCUGCCAGCCAGCCAAACCCCAGGGAUCCACGGGGCCUCGUCUUACACUGAGGGAGGAUCACGCACACAUCACAAUCCAGCUCCCCACAAGCUUUGUUGCUGGGAGAGACGCAGGCAGGCCCAGCAAGGGUUGCACAAGGAGCUCAGAGUGCCCCAGGCCUGGCUCACUGAGGGCCUGAGAGGUGACAGCAGAAGGCUGGGGACAGUGGGACAAACUCACUUCCUGAGAACCUUCAGAGAGCCUAAAAAAGCCAUCGCGGAAAGCCGCUGAAGUCAGCUCCUGCCUCGAAAGAGAACUGUCCUUCUAAUACAGCGAGCAAGCCUGUGCCGUCCCCACAACCUGCCACAGCCCCGCUCCAGCUGGUUAGCAUCUGAAUUCUCAAGUUCACACCUGUGCCCCCUGGGAGACAGUGUACAAUCCGAUUCCCUCGGACAUUUGGGUCUACAGAUAAUUUGAUUGGAAGUGAUCUUAGGCUGGAUCAUCUUGUCUCUCCUUGCCUCUUGGCCCCUCCAGCCAUCUCAAAUGAAUGCAACUAAAGGGUUUAGAAGACCUCUCCCAACACUAAACUUCUAAGAUUCUACGACUCUUGCCAACUGUAAAGAUCCUCAGAGCAAAGGCUACCUCCCCCUCUGUAUCAUCUGUUAGCACUUGUUUAAAAAGCAGCAUUUCACUUUUUCUCCCUCCCCUAGAUCAGCGGUGUCUUCAGCUUAGAGUGAGCUUCUAGUGACACCAGGUGGGGAGAAGGCAAAAGCGCAUGCAUGAGGGUGGGUUUUGAUGGGCAGAGGAAGGAAAGGCUUUCCCUAAGAAGUCCCCAUUUGGGAAGGGAGGGAGUCACAAAAUGGCAGGAGUAAGGGGGUGGGGGCUGGACAAGUUUGACUUGACUGAUUUUCACCUUAUUCUCAGAAAUCUCUUGGCAAUUAGCAUUCCUCCUUAACGCCCUAUCCCAGGCACAGGACCUUGACCUUUCCCUCAGUUCCCAGAGCACAGCUGAGACCGGGCUGCAACAUUUAAAUUAGAUUCUCUGAAGUCUCAAGGACAAAACAAAAGAAAAUAAGCACCAAGAACGACCUUACAUUAGCCCAGCUCUCUGCCUGCCUGCUCUCAGGAGAGAGGGGCCAUCUUUAAUCCCUACCACCCAGAAGUCCCAUAAAGUGGGUCCCUAGUAACGUAUCUAAGGGAUCACGUGCUGUCCUCGUAUCAAAGGUCACUCCCUUUCUUGCCCUCCGGGUCUCAUCCUCUGUCUUUCCAAGUUCUUUGCUGUGCACUUUUCUCUUCUCUCUGCUGCAUUCACUUCUCCCUCCCAACCAGAUUAUUCCCAUCGGCAUGCCAACGGCUCCCAUUCGAAUAAACUUUUCCCUAACCCCACAGCCCCCUUCGGUUACCAUCCAAAUCCUCUUCCUCUGAACAGCAAAAUUCUCGAGAUAGUUGUGUAUAGACACUGUCGUCUUCAUUUUUGGUAAAGCUUCUCAUCUGAGUUUUAUCUCUUUCACUUCCUUGAAACGGUCUCGCCAAGCUCAUCAGGGGCUCUAUUUUCCAAAACACAUGGCUACUUUGCUGUCUUCAUCUUACUUAUCUUUCAGCAGCUUUAGACGUAACUGGCUCCUUCCAGAAACGCUCUCCUGGUUUUUCCCUCCCCCACAUGCUGCUGCCUCUCAGGCUCCUUGGCCGCUUCCUCUUGCUCUGCUGGAAUUUGCAUAUUAUAUUAGACCAGCUCUGAAUGCUUCCUUGACCCUCUUACCUUGUCUAUCUCCUCCCCUCACUGGUGUCUCAUCCACUUCUGUGGCUUUUAGUAUGUGCUCAUGACCUCAAAUUUUAGUUUGGGAGUCUAGAGUUUUCCACUGAGUUCCAGACUCAGAUGCUUAACUGACACAUACAUUUGAAUACCUAAUAGGCAUCUCACACUUAACAUGCUCUUACCAGAAGCCUUGUCCACACAUCUCUGUGCCUGUCUCUUCCACUGGGUGCAGGAUUAUUAACCUUUUUCUUCCUCAAAUCCAAGCCUCCUUGUCAACUUCAUGUUGGCUAUCUUGGGGCCAUCUGAAAGAGUCAGCGUGGAUGGGAAAGGUAACACUCUUAAUCUGAUGUGUGCCACAGGACUGAAUCCCUUUGUAAGAGAAUUUUGAAUAAUGAGCCUUUAUUGCUGGAAGCCUUUUCCAGUCUUAUUUCCUAUAAUUUAGGGCAUAGAAGAAGUCAGCUUACCUAUAUCCAAGAAAAUACAAAUUACUGGAUUCCUCCAAUUUUCUUUCAUUUCUUCUUGGAAAUUUGUCUUUUUUUUUCCUGAAUUCAUCUCUUGAUAAUUAUAUCUUGCUACAAACACUGGAGAACAACCAACACACACUAACAUUCUGGUUCUUUCCCCACAGUUUCUCUUUGAGCUAUAGGCUUAGUAUAUACUUGAUCUGCCUUUCAAGUUGUUGCAGCCAAGACUUUUCCUAAAUGUGUAGUUCCUGCCUAUCAUGGGGCUCCAUUUUCCUAGCCAAGCUCUCCUUGCUGCCAGUGAAAUCAUCUGGCCACUGUCUGCUUCUCUGACCCACCUCCUUCCACUUUCCUCCUGCCACUGUUCUCAGCCUCACUGCCUUCCAUCUGCCCCCAGAGAGGACAGGUCUUUGCAUGUGCUGUUCCCUCUGCCAAGAGCCUCUGCCCCCUAAAUCUUUGCCUGGCUGCCUCUUUCACACAUAAUUCAGGUCUCAGCUCAAAUAUUGCCCCUUGGUGGGGUCUUGCCCGACCAUCCCAUCUCAAGUUUUUUUCCCCCAUAGCAUUUACCGCCAUCUGAUAUUUUCUUUAUUUGUUUUCUUGUCAUGGUCCAUGUCCCAUCCCCCUUGCCUGUAGCCUUUGCAAGAACCAGGAUCCAGUUGGCCUCAUUUGCCACUGUAUCCUUGGUGCUUAGAGUGGUACUUGCCCCACUGUUGGUAUGACAACAAAUGCCAAUGCUCAUACAAUACCGUGUGCCAGACACAGUUGUAGUUCUUUGUUGAACACUUUUUUUAGUGAAAAAUUUCAAAUAUACACAAAAGUAGAAUAAUAUGAUGAAUCCCUUACAAAACCCAUCCCUCAGAUUCAACAUUAUCAAGAUUUUGCCAUGCUUGCUUCCUCUAUCCUUUCUUUCCUUCCUUCUUUUUCUUUCAUUUUUCUUUCCUUUGUUUCUGUUGAAGUAUUUUAAAGAAAAUCCCAGGUAUCAUGUCACUUCCCCCCCACAUACUUCAAUGUAUGCAUUUUUUAAAAUGAAUUUUUCUUAUAUAACUUCAAUAGCAUUCAUACACUUUCGAAAAUUAGCAGUGAUUUCUUAGUAUCGUCCCUCAGUCCUUAUUCAGAUUUUCCUGAUUACCUCAAAGAUAACUUUCUAAAGUUGGUCUGUUUGAAUUAGGAGCCAAACUAGGUCCACUCACUGCCUGGGUUUGUAAUUUCUAUUAAAUAUCUCCUUCCUCCCAUGCUGUUGACUUGUGAAAGAAACAAGUGGUUAUUAUUAACUAUCCAGUUGGAAAUGAUGAGGGCCCAAAUGGGACUGGGUACAGGGGGCAAAAAGGAGGAAAUGGUCUGAAAAGAACUUGUGGAGUAGAGUCAUCUGGUCGACCCUGCUUUGGCUCAGUAGAGUGGUGACAUCACUGGCCUCUCUGAGGCAUCAGGAGCUAUGUAGGAGAGCAGCAGUGGCCUUUCUCCCUCUUACAGGAUCUCUGGUGUGACAGCUGAAAGGAACCCUCAGAUCAGCUAAUUAUAGCUCUUGUUUUAGUCCCUUGCCCAGCCUCCUCCAGCUGGGCAGAACAUCUGUACAAUCCUCCCACUUCACAAAAUUCCCUCUCUAUCUUGCUUCCUCUGAGGCUGUUGAGAGAGGGUCAAUCCCCAUACGCCAUACUUACCACGGUUCCCAGACCAGCUGUGCACCAAACCCAUGGAGUUUUGUUCUGCUCCUUGAACAUACACUCAAAUAUCUGGUUCCCUAUCCAGACCUUCUGAAUCAGAACCUGUGGGCAUGGUACGUGGGAGUCUGUAUUUUAAAUACAGAUGAUGUAGCCAAUUCACAGAUCCUCAUCAGAAACCUUGUAGAAUACACCAAUGGAGUCAGUCCUGAGAUAAAAUUUGUAAAGCAAUUUCUGCCCGCAGAUUACAAUUCCUUUGGGGUCAGUCAUAUUCCACCUUUAUAGCUUUUGCACAAUUUUCAUUAAAGUUUUGAAUAUGCAUCCCAAUAUUUGUGUGUUUAUUUAUGCAUUAUAUACAUGUACCACUGUACUACCAUAUUAAGUAUAAAAUACACUAAAAUAAAUUUUUUAAAAAAUUUAACAAGUAAAUAAAAAUAGAAGUUCUACUAUUUGCUUCUUGCAGCCCCGUGGUUUUUCUUGGACUCCCAUCUGUGGGUUCCUGCUCUGGGGUCUGUUCAGCCCGUCCUUUGCCCAAGGCUUCCCAAGGAGUUCCCUGUGCAGACCUUCCAGAUAUCGUGAAAAGCUCCCUUCUUCUAUAACAUUCUUUGUCAUGACCCCAAAGCCUUCUUGGAGAGAGGUUUGCCUGGUUCACCUGGGCUAAUUUUUUUUCUCUACAAUGUGACCAGUGGAACCCUCCCAAAUUAGUUGUGGAGCAAGCAAACAAGUUAUGUCAGCAGUCAAGUCUUCCAUUCUUCCUGUGGUCCUCUUGGAUCCCUGGGGGCUCAGGAAAAGAAAAUUUCCUAACAGAUGUAUUUAAGGCUGCAGGGGGAGAAAAGGUGAUUGAAGGCCUGGAGGAAGCCGGAGGCAAAUUGAGGUAGGGAAACCUAGAACUCACCAUUUCUAGGCUUCUUGAUUCCUUCCUGUAGAUCUGAGUUGCCACCAGGUAUCAUUUUCCUUUAGCCUGAACAGCUUCAAAGGAAGUAUUUCUUGCACUGCAGGGUUAUUGGUAACAAAUUCUCUCAGUUUUCACUUAUCUGAACAUGUCUUUAUUUCAUCCUCAUUUUUGCAGACUGUUUUUGCUGGAUAUGGAAUUCUGGGUUGACGGCUAUUUUGUUUGUUUAGAGCUUUAAGGAUGCUGUCCUUUAUCUCCUGGUUUCCACUAUUUCUGAUGAGAACUCAGCCAUGAGUUACAUCAUUGUUCUCCUGUAUGUAAUAUGUCAUUUUUCUCUGGAUGAUUGCACGAUUUUCAGAAGUUUAACUAUGGUGUGCCUAGGUGUGACUUUCUUUGCUUGGGGGUUUGCUGAGUUUCUUGAAGCUGUAAGUUGAUGUGUUUCACCACAUUUGGGAAAGUUUUGACCUUUUUUCUUCAUAUAUAUGUUUCUACCCCAUUCUCUCCUUCCUUUCCUUCAAGGAUUCUAAUUACAUAUAUGUUCAACAGCUUUAUUUUUUUCCACAGGUUACUGAGGCUCUGUUCAUUUUGUCUCAAUCUUUUUUCUCUCUCUUCUUCAGACUGAGUAAUUUUUACGGCUCUGUCUUCAAGUUCUUGGACUCUUACUUCUGCCAUCUCCAAUCUGCUGUUAAAACCACCCAGUGAAUUCUUCAUUUCAGACAUUGUAUUUUCAGUCUAGAAUUUCCUUAAAAAGAAGUUUCCACUUCUCUGUUGAGAUUCCCUGUUUCCUUCUUAAGACUAUAUUUUUCUUUAAUUCCUUGAACACGUUUAUUAUAACUGUUUUAAAGUUAUUUAAACAUCUAGAUCAUCUCAGGGCCUGUUUCCAUUGAUACCUUUUAUUUUCGUGGGUAACACUUUUCUGCUUCUUGGUGUAUCUAGUAAUUUUUUUAUUGUAGGCUAUAUUGUGAGUGAUCUGUCAGAAGGAGUCUGGAUUAUGGUGUUUUCCUUUAAAGAGUGUUGUGUUUUGUUGCGACAGGGAAUUAAUUUAUCAAAAGCUUUCCUUGCCCCUAUCAAGGCUUGGUUUUAGACUGUGUUAGGGUGACUUUAAAGUAGCCUUUAUUCUAGGGCAUGGUCCUUCUUCCCAAAGCAUGACUUUUCUGGUGUCUCAGCUGAAUGCUGAGAUAAUACGUGCUGCAACAAGAUCUUUCCACUCGGGCUGGAAUGAUGACUCCCAGCACCAUGUGACCUCUGGUAUUUCCAUUCUUCUCUCAACUCCAUAGCAGGCAGUCUCUUGCAAAGUCUCAACAUGUGCAUGUGCAGCCCAGUUCUUGACCAAAACCCAACAGAGAACUUGUUAUGGGUUAAAUUGUGUUCCCCCAAAAAGAUACAUUGAAGUCCUAACCCCCAAUACUUCAGAAUGUGACCUUCAUUUGGAAAAAGGGUCCUUAUAGAGAAAAUUAAGUUAAAAUGAGAUCAUUAGGGUGGGUCCUAAUCCAGAAUAACGGGUGUGCUUAUAAAAAGUUGAAAUUGCACACAGAGACAUAUACGCAGAGAGAAAGCCGUGUGAAGAAAAGGGAGAGACCAAGGUAUUGCAUCUACAAGCCAAGGAAUAUCAAAGAUUGACAGCAAAUCACCAGAUGCCAGGGAAGAGGCAUGGAACAGAUUCUCCCUCACAGCUCUCAGAAGAAACCAAUCCUGCUGACACCUUGAUUUCAGACUCCUGGCCUCCACAAUUGUGAGAGAAUAAAUUCCUGUUGUUUAAGCCCCCAGUUUGUGGUACUUUGCUGUGGCAGCUCCAGCAAAUGCAUACAUGCCCACAAAGACUUUUGGUGGCCCCUCUACAUGACUCCCUCCUUCCUGGCAGCCAACCCCAAGAGUUCCAUUCGCUUUAGCAGCUCCAAACUCUGAUCUUUGCUUCUGAGCUCAGCAUGACGCUAGACUCUUCUUGGGUUCCACCUUGCUGUGCUGUAGUCAGGAAGUUGUCCCCAGGCAGACAGCUGGUUCAUGCUGGGCUCCCUUUAUGGGUUUUCCUUCUCUCAGGAAUUGCAGCUGUGCACUGCCUGUUGUCCAACGCCUGCAAACAGUUGUGUCAUGCAUCUUGUCCAGUUUCGUAGUUGUUUAUGGUGAAAAGUAAUUCCAAUAUUUGUUACUCCAUCAUGGCCAGAAGUGAAGUUUCUGUUCUAAAUUCUUUAUUUGAAUUAACUCAUUUAAUCCUCUCAACAACUCCCUGAGGUAGGUUAUUAUCCUCAUGAGUUCCAGAAAAAAACUGAGGCAAAAAAAGAUUAAAUAACUUGUCCAAGGACAUAUGUUCUGAACAGAGGAGCUAGAUUUUGAAUCUAGGAAGGUUAGCUGCAGAGCCUAUGUUCUUAAACAUUAACCUGUUAUCUUACAUAAUAGGUGCUCAAUGAAUGCAUUUUGAAUAGAUGAAGAGACGGUGGUCUCUUCUACCUUUAUUGCCAUUUCCUUCUGUUCCACCUGCCCAGGAAAACCCCAACAUUACACCAAUCCAGUAUCUUCACUCUCCUGCACCCAGAUUUUUAGCAUGAUGGAGAAAAUCACACUUCUGGGCAGACUGAACUCCUACCAAGUUAUGUGGACCUUUGACAAUACCUAAUAAUCCUGUAUUUCCCUAGUGUUUGCCUUCCAUUUGCUGUUGGUUUUCUCCUCUAAUCUCAAACACUUGUACCUUCCUUCUUGUUAUUUUCAGGAAAAACACAAUUUCCAGCUGUGAACUCUCAGUUUCCUUCUCAUUCCUAUAAAUUUGACUUGUAUUGGCACCCACCCUUGCCUUUUCCUCUACUGUCAAAAUAUUUAGUGUUUUUCUCUUUCUAUCUAAGGAUCAUCCACUUUUAGCUGCCACCUGAUGUCUUUCCUCUCUUUCACAGCCAAGUUUGUGGAAGUGUCAGUCACAUUCUCCAUCUGCACUUGCUCAUCUCCGUAGGAUUGGAAGUCCUAGCCAGAGCAAUCAGGCAAGAAAAAGAAAUAAAAGGGAUCCACAUUGGAAAAGAAGAAGUGAAAUUGUCACUCUUUGCAGAUGACAUGAUUUUAUUUUUAUUAAUUUCAUCCUUAGGCUUUCUUUAAAUGAAACCACGUACAUAGGAAAUGUGUCCUUUCCUUGAAUAUGGGCUAGGAAUUGUCAAGACCCC
Molecule: long non-coding RNA, 9475 nt
Organism: Equus caballus (horse)
Lineage: Eukaryota; Metazoa; Chordata; Mammalia; Perissodactyla; Equidae
Source: Ensembl